GACGUAGGGCGCGAGCGUUGUCCGGAUUUAUUGGGCGUAAAGAGCUCGUAGGCGGCUCGUUGCGUCGGCUGUGAAAACCCGCAGCUCAACUGUGGGCUUGCAGCUGAUACGGGCGGGCUGGGAUUCGGUAGGGGAGACUGGAAUUCCUGGUGUAGCGGUGAAAUGCGCAGAUAUCAGGAAGAACACCAAUGGCGAAAGCAGCUUUCUGGGACGGUACUGACGCUGAGACGCGAAAGCGUGGGGAGCGAACAGG
This 253-nucleotide ribosomal RNA is filed under the name uncultured bacterium. Its description in RNAcentral is "partial 16S ribosomal RNA". It matches the Rfam family "Bacterial small subunit ribosomal RNA", at positions 524 to 776 of the family's 1533-position model. The record is from RNAcentral.